Molecule: long non-coding RNA, 462 nt
Organism: Saccostrea cuccullata (small rock oyster)
Lineage: Eukaryota; Metazoa; Mollusca; Bivalvia; Ostreida; Ostreidae
Exons: 3
Source: RefSeq, a predicted model, not a curated record
AAUCGUGACCGGUGGAUAGGUUUAGGAACCUGUUUCCUCUCGGUGCAUCAAACCAAACUAUGGAUAGUGUCUUUGCACUCGCCAAACGCACAGCAGACGUAAAAGUCACGAUUCUUUCGGAAAAGACAUAAAAACCAAGGUCUUGUUCCAUGGUGGAGGUUGGCAUGAUGAGGAAAUCUUUGUGUUCAACCGCCUUGAGUGCCGAGUUCAUAUCUACAUUUGAAGCCCUUCAAAUGUGUAUUUUGACGUUUCAAUAUUAGUGCAACAUUCCUGAAUGGUACAUUAAACAAAAUAAGAGGAAAAAUAUUAUCUGGAGGAAACGUAAAAACUUACCUGCAAUGACUAAAGGGGAUGUUAGCAAUGUGGAGGCAUGGCGUAGCAGGUUUUCUAGGGGUUGACAGAAGUUGGAAUCUUUACAGAAACUGAUUGCCCACCCCGUAGUCUCCUUUUUCUGUCAAAACA